RNAcentral lists this ribosomal RNA (253 nucleotides) under uncultured bacterium. RNAcentral describes it as "partial 16S ribosomal RNA". It matches the Rfam family "Bacterial small subunit ribosomal RNA", at positions 524 to 776 of the family's 1533-position model. The record is from RNAcentral.
GACAGAGGGUGCAAACGUUGUUCGGAAUUACUGGGCGUAAAGCGCGUGUAGGUGGCGUGGCAAGUCGGGUGUGAAAGCCCUGGGCUCAACCCAGGAAGUGCAUUCGAUACUGCCAAGCUAGAGUCCCGGAGAGGAUGGUGGAACUCUCGGUGUAGAGGUGAAAUUCGUAGAUAUCGGGAGGAACACCGGUGGCGAAGGCGGCGACCUGGGUAGAUACUGACGCUGAGGUGCGAAAGCGUGGGGAGCAAACAGG